GGAUAACGCGAUUUAGUGGAGUCA
RNAcentral lists this non-coding RNA (24 nucleotides) under Arabidopsis thaliana (thale cress). Lineage: Eukaryota; Viridiplantae; Streptophyta; Magnoliopsida; Brassicales; Brassicaceae. The record is from RNAcentral.